RNAcentral lists this ribosomal RNA (253 nucleotides) under uncultured bacterium. Its description in RNAcentral is "partial 16S ribosomal RNA". It matches the Rfam family "Bacterial small subunit ribosomal RNA", at positions 524 to 776 of the family's 1533-position model. The record is from RNAcentral.
UACGGAGGGUGCAAACGUUGCUCGGAAUCAUUGGGCGUAAAGAGCGUGUAGGCGGCCAGAUAAGUCCGCUGUGAAAACUCGAGGCUCAACUUCGAGCUGUCGGUGGAAACUAUUUGGCUAGAGUCCGGAAGAGGAGAGUGGAAUUCCUGGUGUAGCGGUGAAAUGCGCAGAUAUCAGGAAGAACACCCGUGGCGAAGGCGGCUCUCUGGUACGGAACUGACGCUGAGACGCGAAAGCGUGGGGAGCGAACAGG